This 290-nucleotide unclassified non-coding RNA is filed under the name rhizosphere metagenome. RNAcentral describes it as "partial ribosomal RNA internal transcribed spacer region". The record is from RNAcentral.
GUAGGUGAACCUGCGGAAGGAUCAUUACAAAUUCGACCCCUCAAUACACCUUUGACGUGCGUCAGCGCGGCAAAGGUGUAUUGACGGGGGAGCAUCGGUUUGGAAUUGCGUGCGUGUCUAACCACAUACACACAAAACCACCGAUACAUACGUGCGUUUUGGAACUAUGUAUACGUGAUUAAAUACCACGCAUACAGAAAUCCAACAACAAACACAAUCACGCUUUUUACGUCUGACUGUAAUUUACAAACCAAAAGAUACAACUUUAAACAACGAAUCUCUUGGCUCUU